RNAcentral lists this non-coding RNA (812 nucleotides) under Hemisodorcus donckieri. Lineage: Eukaryota; Metazoa; Arthropoda; Insecta; Coleoptera; Lucanidae. The record is from RNAcentral.
UAAAGGGGAAUUAAUAUUUAAGUAUAUAUAUAUACUACUAUUGUGUUAGAUUUUUAGUUAUAAAAAUCAAAGUUUUAUUGUAGCUUAAAAAUUUGGUGGAUAAUAAUUUUACAUGUGAAUUUAAAUUUAAAAAUUUAGGUUGAGCAGUAAGUGGAUUUAAUAAUUAAGUAAUUUUAGAAUUAGGUAUUUAUAUUAGUAUGGACAAAUUUUGUGCCAGCGGUUGCGGUUAUACAUAAUAUACUUCUAAAUUUGGUUUGGGUGGUAAUUAUCUUUUUAUUAUAAAUGAAAAUUAAUUAUGUGAGGUGAAAUUUAAUAGUUGAUUAAAUUUAUUUUUUAAUGAAAUAUUAUUAAAUUUUUGUAGUAAACUAGGAUUAGAUACCCUAUUAUUAGGAAUGUAAAAUUAAAUUCCUGAGAAGUAUUAGGUGUUCUUGAAAUUUAAAAAAUUUGGCGGUGUUUUAAUCUAUUCAGAGGAACCUGUUCUGUAAUUGAUAAUCCACGAUUAAUUUAACUUGUCUUUUAAGUUUGUAUAUCGUCGUUAUUUGAAUAUCUUUUAAGGGAGGAAUAUUCAAUUUUUAAAAUUUUAAUUUAAAUCAGAUCAAGGUGCAGUUUACAUACAAGUAGAAAUGGGUUACAAUAAAUUGAUUUAUGGUUUGGAAGAUGAAAUUCUUUCAAUAAAUAGGAUUUGAUAGUAAAACUAAUAAUUUUAUUAGUUUGAUUAAAGUUCUAAAAUAUGCACAUAUCGCCCGUCGCUCCUUUUCCAAGGAAGGAUAAGUCGUAACAUAGUAGGUGUACCGGAAGGUGUACCUGGAAAG